GUACACUCCUACGGGAGGCAGCAGUGGGGAAUUUUGGACAAUGGGCGAAAGCCUGAUCCAGCCAUGCCGCGUGCAGGAUGAAGGCCUUCGGGUUGUAAACUGCUUUUGUACGGAACGAAACGGCCUUUUCUAAUAAAGAGGGCUAAUGACGGUACCGUAAGAAUAAGCACCGGCUAACUACGUGCCAGCAGCCGCGGUAAUACGUAGGGUGCAAGCGUUAAUCGGAAUUACUGGGCGUAAAGCGUGCGCAGGCGGUUAUGUAAGACAGUUGUGAAAUCCCCGGGCUCAACCGGGGAACUGCAUCUGUGACUGCAUAGCUAGAGUACGGUAGAGGGGGAUGGAAUUCCGCGUGUAGCAGUGAAAUGCGUAGAUAUGCGGAGGAACACCGAUGGCGAAGGCAAUCCCCUGGACCUGUACUGACGCUCAUGCACGAAAGCGUGGGGAGCAAACAGGAUUAGAAACCCCGGUAGUCCCAU
This 476-nucleotide ribosomal RNA is filed under the name uncultured organism. RNAcentral describes it as "partial 16S ribosomal RNA". It matches the Rfam family "Bacterial small subunit ribosomal RNA", at positions 331 to 798 of the family's 1533-position model. The record is from RNAcentral.